UACGGAGGAUGCGAGCGUUAUCCGGAUUUAUUGGGUGUAAAGGGAGCGUAGGCGGGUGGACAAGUUGAAUGUGAAAGAGACAGGCUCAACCUGUUGUUGCGUUCAAAACUGUACAUCUUGAGUGAAGUAGAGGCAGGCGGAAUUCCUAGUGUAGCGGUGAAAUGCGUAGAUAUUAGGAGGAACACCAGUUGCGAAGGCGGCUCUCUGGACUGUAACUGACACUGAGGCACGAAAGCGUGGGGAGCAAA
This 248-nucleotide ribosomal RNA is filed under the name uncultured Eubacterium sp. RNAcentral describes it as "partial 16S ribosomal RNA". It matches the Rfam family "Bacterial small subunit ribosomal RNA", at positions 524 to 772 of the family's 1533-position model. The record is from RNAcentral. Lineage: Bacteria; Bacillati; Bacillota; Clostridia; Eubacteriales; Eubacteriaceae.